Long non-coding RNA from Fundulus heteroclitus (mummichog), 1290 nucleotides. RefSeq lists it as uncharacterized. The transcript is spliced from 4 exons. The record is from RefSeq and is a predicted model, not a curated record. NCBI's taxonomy places the organism in Eukaryota, Metazoa, Chordata, Actinopteri, Cyprinodontiformes, Fundulidae.
GGAAACUAUUUAGUUUAUGGGAGGACUUUGACCCAGACUCUUAUUGCACUCUGGUUUGUUGAGCUGGCUUCACCGUGAACACAGUACGCUUCCAGGUUCUCUCCAGUGUCAGAUUAUCCUGCUGCCAUGAAUCCUACUCUCGUCGUUUGCAUUUUGCUGUGUUCCCUUCCGCCUGUUGACUCCAGUUCAGAUGUUUAUAAUACCACGCCUGAACCAAUUCACUGCAUGACUCUGGAAUGGGGCCUAAUAGGCGGUGUCAUUGGAACGGUCAUUGUUGCUGUGCCAGCGAUUGUCUUUUUCUUAGUAAAAAGACGUAAGGCAAAGAAAAGUAUUGCCACCCUGAAAGAAGUGAAAAGGGAGCUAGAGAACCAGAAAAGUCAACUCACACAACAACUCGAAGACAUAGAGACUGAAAGGGAUGAAAACAAAGCUCAACUUCAGCAACUGGGGACCAAAAUAUCAGACAGUGAAAGCUCUGAUCGCAAAUCUUUGUUAUUAAGACAAAAGGAAGAACUGUUAAAGUCCCAGUGGGAAUUGGAUGUGAAAAAAAAACAAUUUCAAAAACAGCUACUGAACAUUGAGAGAGCGCUGGAACCUACAGAGAUUGAGAAGUUACGCAAGCUAAACAGAUCUUCAAAUAUUUGAGAGAAAAAUCGAAUUUAGAUUUACAGCCAGAUUAGACAAUCAGCAUAUUUUAUAGCAGAAAAGCAAAGACAUGCAGUUUAUUGGAAUUAUUGUAGAAAAAAAUCACAGAUUCUAGAUUUCUAAAAGACAAAUGACUAAAUCAAAUGACUAAAUCAAAUGCAUCUUUAAAUUUGCAAUAUAUCAUAGGUAUUUAAAUUUCCAGGGUAAAGAAUGUAGUGAGCUAAGUUAACUAAACAAGUUUGAGAAAGACUGAACAAAUGUUUGGUUGUUUUUUGAGCCAAGCCUGUUAAUGGUUGAAUCUCCUCCACAGAGCAAAAUUUAUUACAUUUAUGAAGGUAGGUGACAUGAAUUUUAGUAAUUACAGCUUCACAUUAGAACACUUGUGCAAUUAGUAAAAUCUAAGAAAUUAUUUAAAAAACUAUGCAUAUGUGUGCGUAAGGCUGCUUGCUGCAAAGGAAAUGGUGAAUGCUGCGUGCACUGCAGGGCUACAAGUAAAAGCAGGAUAGAAUAGUGAUGAGCAGUGACAAAUAUCUUUGUGGGGGUAUCAGUUAACAUGAGUUUACUCAGACAUACCUGAGCAAAACCAUGGUAACAGAAAAAUAAAAAAGCUUGCUAUAAUUUUUUGAAAAAAAAAAAAAAAAAAAA